GAUGAACGCUGGCGGCGUGCCUAAUACAUGCAAGUCGAGCGAACGGACGAGAAGCUUGCUUCUCUGAUGUUAGCGGCGGACGGGUGAGUAACACGUGGAUAACCUACCUAUAAGACUGGGAUAACUUCGGGAAACCGGCGCUAAUACCGUAUAAUAUUUUGAACCGCAUUGUUCAAAAGUGAAAUACGGUCUUGCUGUCACUUAUAGAUGGAUCCGCGCUGCAUUAGCUAGUUGGUAAGGUAACGGCUUACCAAGGCAACGAUGCAUAGCCGACCUGAGAGGGUGAUAGGCCACACUGGAACUGAGACACGGUCCAGACUACUACGGGAGGCAGCAGUAGGGAAUCUUCCGCAAUGGGCGAAAGCAUGACGGAGCAACGCCGAGUGAGUGAUGAAGGUCUUCGGAUCGUAAAACUCUGUUAUUAGGGAAGAACAUAUGUGUAAGUAACUGUGCACAUCUUGACGGUAACUAAUCAGAAAGCCACGGCUAACUACGUG
Molecule: ribosomal RNA, 497 nt
Filed under: uncultured bacterium
Lineage: Bacteria
Description: partial 16S ribosomal RNA
Rfam family: Bacterial small subunit ribosomal RNA
Source: RNAcentral